RNAcentral lists this ribosomal RNA (253 nucleotides) under uncultured prokaryote. Its description in RNAcentral is "partial 16S ribosomal RNA". It matches the Rfam family "Bacterial small subunit ribosomal RNA", at positions 525 to 777 of the family's 1533-position model. The record is from RNAcentral.
ACGUAGGGUGCGAGCGUUAAUCGGAAUUACUGGGCGUAAAGCGUGCGCAGGCGGUUGUGUAAGACAGGUGUGAAAUCCCCGGGCUCAACCCGGGAACUGCGUCCGAUACUGGGAGGCUUGAAUCCGGGAGAGGGAUGUGGAAUUCCAGGUGUAGCGGUGAAAUGCGUAGAUAUCUGGAGGAACACCGGUGGCGAAGGCGGCAUCCUGGACCGGUAUUGACGCUGAGGCGCGAAAGCGUGGGGAGCAAACAGGA